UACAGAGGGCCCAAGCGUUGUUCGGAUUCACUGGGCGUAAAGGGUGCGUAGGCGGUUGGGUAAGUCUGUCGUGAAAUCUCCGAGCCUAACUCGGAAACUGCGUCGGAUACUAUUCAACUCGAGGAAUGGAGGGGAGACUGGAAUUCUCGGUGUAGCAGUGAAAUGCGUAGAUAUCGAGAGGAACACCAGUGGCGAAGGCGAGUCUCUGGACAUUUCCUGACGCUGAGGCACGAAAGCCAGGGGAGCAAACGGG
Molecule: ribosomal RNA, 253 nt
Filed under: uncultured bacterium
Lineage: Bacteria
Description: partial 16S ribosomal RNA
Rfam family: Bacterial small subunit ribosomal RNA
Source: RNAcentral